Molecule: transfer RNA, 137 nt
Filed under: Ixodes scapularis (black-legged tick)
Lineage: Eukaryota; Metazoa; Arthropoda; Arachnida; Ixodida; Ixodidae
Rfam family: tRNA
About the family: Transfer RNA (tRNA) molecules are approximately 80 nucleotides in length.
Source: Rfam by way of RNAcentral
GCAGUCGUGGCCGAGUGGAUAAGGCGAUAGAUUAGAAAUCCAUUGGCGUCUCCCCGCACAACAUUCAACCAACAACAUUUGAUAAACAACGUGCGCGACGUGCUCGUUGUUGACAGGUUAGAAUCCUGUCAACUGCG